Long non-coding RNA from Catharus ustulatus (Swainson's thrush), 847 nucleotides. RefSeq lists it as uncharacterized. The transcript has 3 exons. NCBI's taxonomy places the organism in Eukaryota, Metazoa, Chordata, Aves, Passeriformes, Turdidae. The record is from RefSeq and is a predicted model, not a curated record.
UUUUCCUCAGACUUUGCUUCUUGUGCUGCACCUGGUAAUGAGCACGUGGAGGGAGAGGGGACAACAAAGACCAGUGGCUGAUUGCACGGCAGAGUUGGACUUUAGUGAACUUCUUUGACUUCACAAAGAAAUGUGAAAUCUGGCACUUAGCAGAGGCAGAAGGAAACAUCUGGAUGCUUUUGAUCAAAGAUGCUUGUGGAAAAUGAGACUGCAGAGCAUCAAGAAUGGCACAGUUUGAGAAAGAGAAAGAAAGAAUGAAACUCUCCUCAGCAGAGGGGUGUGAUUUCUGUAGUUUCCUGAGCACGCAGAAGAGGGGAGAGGACCUUCUUUGCCCAUUUGCUAGAGAACAGUUGAUAUUGCAUUUGACAAUCCUGUAAUCCAAUUUAUAUCCAGCUUGCUGCUGGCCACCUGUGAGCAAUUUUAUUCUGUGGCUUUUUGUUUUAAUCUGAGAGCACUCAUUUGUCUGUGAAGGAUGAUUCCCUUGGACUGCCUCAGGAUCUUGGGCCCACCACAACAGCUGGGUACUUAAUUCAGACAUUUGGAGUUACUGAAUCCUGAUUUUUUUAGUAGGAGUUUUAGUCUGUGGGAUGAAUCCUGCACUCAGAAAAUUGCUUUUUGUGCUGUGGUGUUUGCUACCAUUGUGCUGUGAAGGUGAAGUUCUGUCCCAGUGCAUGCAAAAUGAAAAGUAAAGUAACCUGACUGGCUGCCUGCCCUUUCAGACAGUAAAAUGAAACAGUCCUUAGCUCUGGUAAUGGUAUCAGCAAUGCUACCUUGAUCUAAUAAUCCAGGCAAAAUGAUUUUACUGCUUCAAAUUUCCUGUUGAGGGGUUUGAGAGGGGAUGGUUGUC